AGAUAGUCCAUCUCAUUGGCAGUAUUUACCAUGAAUAACGAUACCCCAAGCAUGAUUCAUGAUCCAUUGAUUGAUUCCACAGGAGAUGGAGGCUAUGCAUUGAGUGGAAAAAUUAUGCUAAGUGCUAUUGUUAUCUUAUUCACUGUUGUUGUUUUCAUGGUGGGUCUUCAUUUAUAUGCUCGUUGGUACCUUGUGUCUCAGCGCCGCCGUGAACUCCUUCGCCGCCGUAGGGUCAACCAUCGACGGACUCAUAUUGUUUUCUACGUUGAUAAUCCUGGUUCCGGUUUGUCUGAUGCUAACCGGGGUUUGGAACAGGCGGUUCUCAGUUCCUUGCCGGUUUUUGUUUAUUCCGACAAGACUCACCCGGAACCGCUGGAAUGUGCUGUUUGUUUAUCGGAAUUUGAGGAGAAUGAAAAGGGUCGGGUUUUACCCAAGUGUAAUCACUCUUUUCAUUCGGAAUGUAUUGAUAUGUGGUUUCAUUCUCAUUCUACGUGCCCUCUUUGUCGCUCUCCGGUGGAGGCAGUACUUAUCGGACCGGAUAUUAACCGGGUUGAGGUGGCGGUAACAGUGAACGAACCGGGUUCGAGUUCGGGUUGUGAGGAGAAUAGUAGUCAUCAUUCUAAUAUGACGCCGUUGGGUUGCCGGCGAAAAGGAUUGGAUCUGACCGGAGUAAGAAUAGAGGUACCAAGAAGGAACGAUUUCGAAGCCGAUUUGGAAAUGGGAGUGAGAGUAAGUUCACCGGCGAUUCAAUCGAGAUCACCAGCGACUCGUUUAAUGUCUUUGAGAAGAAUCCUAAGUAUGAACAGAAAAACACCCACCGGAACUAGCCAUUCUCCUAGUGGAAGUUGCGCCGCGGAUUUUGAUAUAGAAACCGGCGGUAGUAGUGGUGGUGGAAAAAUUCAAGUCGGCGGCGAACGCAUCACAACUCCGUGAGUUAAAAAUGCGGGCACACAUCCCUAGGCAAAAGCUGAAAAAUAUUGAGUCACGCCGAUUGCGUGAAAACAGGAGAAACAGUGACUUGACUGACAGAAAAGUCCUAUGACACGUGGCAAUUGCUGAGUGAUUCACCUUUUACAAGGCAGUCAUAGUAGACUUUGAGGGGGGAAUGUUUGACUUGUAAAUUAAUGGUAGGAUUAGAAAAAUGCAAAGUUGUAAAGCGUUACGUGCAAGAGUCAAUUACAAUGUGUCUAUUCUAAAUUCGUUGAAUUUUUUUUCCCUAUUAUAAAGUAUUUGAUAAACGUUGGUUCCUAAUUUAUGACUCGUGUAGUUGGUAAGUGGAAUAGUUCAAUCAUGUUAAAG
RNAcentral lists this unclassified non-coding RNA (1299 nucleotides) under Hevea brasiliensis (rubber tree). Lineage: Eukaryota; Viridiplantae; Streptophyta; Magnoliopsida; Malpighiales; Euphorbiaceae. The record is from RNAcentral.